This 1446-nucleotide unclassified non-coding RNA is filed under the name Hevea brasiliensis (rubber tree). The record is from RNAcentral. Lineage: Eukaryota; Viridiplantae; Streptophyta; Magnoliopsida; Malpighiales; Euphorbiaceae.
UUCUCUCUCUUUCUCUCUCUCUCGUUUAUUUAUUUAUAUAAACGAUGAACUUGUCGCAGCUUCGAGCGCGUAAAAUUGACACGCAAAGCACCAAAAACUAAAACCGCGUUUAAACAAAACUUCGUACUUCCCCUGCCUUCCUCUGCACCCAAUCCAACCAGCUCCACCGCCACCGCUAAAUCUCUUCUCUUUCACUCCUCUGUGACACCAGCAGGUCGAUUGGAAGGAAUAGAAGCGUUGGAGAAAUGCAGGAGAUGAGUUCGAGCUCGGUUCUUUCCGUACAUCAAUCUUUCAAUUCUUGCUCCGCUACCCAAUUAGCGGAAAUCGCCGGUAAGUUUGAGGAGGAUUUUAGCUUGAAAUUGAAACUAAAUGAAGCCACGGUAAAUGAAUUAGAGAACUGCAAGGAUGAGAAACCGCUGCCUGAGGAAGAAAGAGAGGUUGAAGUGGUAGAGGAGGAGGAGGAGGAGGAGUUUAGUUUUGUUUGCUUGAAUCCCAAUGGAUCGCCGAUAUCUGCCGACGAAAUAUUCCAAAACGGUCAGAUCCGACCCGUUUUUCCUUUGUUUAAUAGAGAUAUCCUAUUCGCCGACGGUGAUUCGGAGUCUAAAAACUCCUCCACGAUAGCUCUCCGGCCUCCGUUGAGAAAUUUGUUCGUGGAAGAGCGCGACCACGGCUUGUCAACUUCGUCUUCGGAAGCGGAGGAACCGGAGAGACCGUUCUGCGUUUGGGAAAGAAAAGCCGUGGAGGCGUCGCCUAAUGUCUGCAAAAAGAGCAACUCCACUGGAUUUUCAAAGCUAAGGAGGUUUCGAGAAUUGGUACUCCGAAGCAACAGCGACGGGAAGGAUGCCUUCGUCUUCUUAAAUCAUCACAACCAUAACGAUCAUCCUCCAACGCUAACAGCAGCAACAGCAAGUACAAAACCGAAAAAGGCAGAGAAAAGCGAAAAAGCCAUGGAGAAAAAGCGAAAGCCAGUGGCGAAGAAGGAUGAAAAAGCUUCGUCGGCGCACGAGAGACUCUACGUGAGCAAUCGAGCGAUGAAAGAGGAGAGCAAACGAAAAUCGUAUUUGCCGUAUCGGGUCGGGUUCUUCACAAAUGUGAACGGGUUGAGUAGGAACUUACAUCCCUAUUAAGUUCGUACAAUGGGGCUACAGUCAACGUUCUCUUUUUCAUUUUUGAGAGUUAGUUAAUUUAUUUAUUUAUUUUUUUAAAUGUAAACUGUAAAUUAGAUUGGAUAUUAAAAAUCAUGAUCUGAAGAGGUUUAGUGAUAACUGGACUCCUUUUCUUUGACUCCAUUUUUUGGUUGUUUUCUCGUUCAGAACCUUAUUGAAGGUCUGUUUAUAGCCAUUGAGUUUUUGGGUUUCUUUUCUUUUUGCAUCAUAGUGCAAGAGUUGUUAAACAGGGAGAGAGACAGCAAAACAAGGACUUUCAAAUUGUAAAUUCCUAUCCCCU